RNAcentral lists this ribosomal RNA (303 nucleotides) under uncultured bacterium. RNAcentral describes it as "partial 16S ribosomal RNA". It matches the Rfam family "Bacterial small subunit ribosomal RNA", at positions 507 to 807 of the family's 1533-position model. The record is from RNAcentral.
AGCAGCAGCCGCGGUAAUACGAAGGGUGCAAGCGUUACUCGGAAUUACUGGGCGUAAAGCGUGCGUAGGUGGUGGUUUAAGUCCGUUGUGAAAGCCCUGGGCUCAACCUGGGAAUUGCAGUGGAUACUGGGUCACUAGAGUGUGGUAGAGGAUAGUGGAAUUUCCGGUGUAGCAGUGAAAUGCGUAGAGAUCGGAAGGAACAUCUGUGGCGAAGGCGGCCAUCUGGGACAACACUGACGCUGAGGCACGAAAGCGUGGGGAGCAAACAGGAUUAGAUACCCCAGUAGUCCCUGUCUCUUAUAC